CAGUAGCCACGGUAAUACGAAGGGGGCUAGCGUUGUUCGGAAUUACUGGGCGUAAAGGGCGCGUAGGCGGCCAUUCAAGUUAGAUGUGAAAGCCCUGGGCUCAACCUAGGAAUUGCAUUUGAUACUGUUUGGCUUGAGUUCGGGAGAGGUGAGUGGAAUUCCCAGUGUAGAGGUGAAAUUCGUAGAUAUUGGGAAGAACACCAGUGGCGAAGGCGGCUCACUGGACCGACACUGACGCUGAGGCGCGAAAGCGUGGGGAGCAAACAGGAUUAGAUACCCGCGUAGUCCCUGUCUCUUAUAC
This 301-nucleotide ribosomal RNA is filed under the name uncultured bacterium. RNAcentral's name for it is "partial 16S ribosomal RNA". It matches the Rfam family "Bacterial small subunit ribosomal RNA", at positions 509 to 807 of the family's 1533-position model. The record is from RNAcentral.